UAAUACGGAGGGUGCGAGCGUUAAUCGGAAUUACUGGGCGUAAAGGGUGCGUAGGUUGUUUGUUAAGUUAGCUUUAAAAUACCUGGGCUUAACCUGGGGGAGUGGGCUAAUACUGAUGAACUAGAGUAUAGGAGAGGGUAGUGGAAUUUCCGGUGUAGCGGUGAAAUGCGUAGAGAUCGGAAGGAACACCAGUGGCGAAGGCGGCUACCUGGCCAGAUACUGACACUGAGGCACGAAAGCGUGGGGAGCAAACAGG
RNAcentral lists this ribosomal RNA (256 nucleotides) under uncultured bacterium. RNAcentral describes it as "partial 16S ribosomal RNA". It matches the Rfam family "Bacterial small subunit ribosomal RNA", at positions 521 to 776 of the family's 1533-position model. The record is from RNAcentral.